Molecule: ribosomal RNA, 1948 nt
Filed under: human gut metagenome
Description: bacterial LSU rRNA
Rfam family: Bacterial large subunit ribosomal RNA
Source: RNAcentral
GAAAGUAAGCAAGGGCAGACGGUGGAUGCCUUGGCUCUCGGAGGCGACGAAGGACGUGAUAAGCUGCGAAAAGCCCGGGGGAGGCGCAAAUAGCCGUUGAUCCCGGGAUAUCCGAAUGGGGCAACCCGGCAGGCUGAAGGCCUGUCAUCCCGUAAGGGAGGCGAACGUGGGGAACUGAAACAUCUAAGUACCCAUAGGAGGAGAAAAUAAACAAUGAUUCCGUAAGUAGUGGCGAGCGAACACGGAAGAGCCCAAACCCAUGUCGUCUAGGCGACACGGGGGUUGUAGGACCACGACGUGGCAAGAUAGAGUCAAGUGGAACGCCUUGGAAAAGGCGGUCAUAGAGGGUGAAAACCCCGUACACGACUGACGAUUGAAGCCUAGUGGUAUCCUGAGUAGCGCGGGGCACGAGAAAUCUUGCGUGAAACAGCGGGGCCCAUCCCGUAAGGCUAAAUACUCCCGAGAGACCGAUAGCGAACCAGUACCGUGAGGGAAAGGUGAAAAGAACCCCGAGCAGGGGAGUGAAAUAGACCCUGAACCCGUCUGCCUACAAGCGGUCGGAGCAUAGCAAUAUGUGACGGCGUGCCUUUUGCAUAAUGAACCUACGAGUUACCUUCCCCGGCAAGGUUAAGUACCUAAGGUACGGAGCCGAAGCGAAAGCGAGUCUGAAGAGGGCGGCCAGUCGGGGGGGGUAGACGCGAAACCGAGUGAUCUACCCUUGGCCAGGUUGAAGGUUGGGUAACACCAACUGGAGGACCGGAUGGGUAAGCGUUGAAAAGCUUUCCAAUGAGCUGAGGGUAGGGGUGAAAGGCUAAUCAAACUCGGAGAUAGCUCGUACUCCCCGAAAUGCAUUUAGGUGCAGCCUCUUUAUAGUAUAUCGUGAGGUAGAGCGACUGAUUGGAUGCGAGGGCUUCACCGCCUAUCAAGUCCAGAUAAACUCCGAAUGCGCGAUAUAUAUUUACAGGGAGUGAGGGCGCGGGUGCUAAGGUCCGUGUCCGAGAGGAGAAGAAUCCAGACCACCGGCUAAGGCCCCCAAAUGAUCGUUGAGUUGAACUAACGAGGUCGGAUCGCAGAGACAGCUAGGAUGUUGGCUUGGAAGCAGCCAUUCAUUUAAAGAGUGCGUAACAGCUCACUAGUCGAGCGAUCUGGCGUGGAUAAUAAUCGGGCAUAAACGAUCUGCCGAAGCCGUGGAUGUCGUAAGACAUGGUAGGGGAGCAUUCCAUGCGGCGUCGAAGAUGAGGGAUGACCCUUGUUGGAGCGCAUGGAAAAGCAAAUGUAGGUAUGAGUAACGAUAAGGGGGGCGAGAAACCCCCCCGCCGAAAGACCAAGGUUUCCUGAUCAACGCUAAUCGGAUCAGGGUGAGUCGGGACCUAAGGCAAAGCCGAACGGCGCCGCCGAUGGAAGAAUGGGUUAAUAUUCCCAUACUGCCUCAUGGAGUGACGUGGAGACGGAGAAGUGACAGUCCUGCCGGCUGACGGAAUAGCCGGUUGAAGGGUGUAGAUAUUGAUUCCCGUAGGCAAAUCCGCGGGGAGAGUCGAACCUGACAGUAUACCGAGUACUUGUACGAGGUAAUAUGGACGUAACCAUGCUCCCAAGAAAAUCCGCUAAACUUAUCCAUGCGGCACCCGUACCGUAAACGGACACACGUGGUCGGGUUGAGAAUACUGAGGCGCUCGAGUGACUCACGGUUAAGGAACUAGGCAAAUUGACCCUGUAACUUCGGGAUAAAGGGUCCUCGUCGUAAGGCGAGGCGCAGAGAAUAGGUCCAGGCAACUGUUUAACAAAAACACAUGGCUGUGCUAAAUGGAAACAUGACGUAUACAGCCUGACACCUGCCCGGUGCUGGAAGGUUAAGAGGAGAUGUCAUCGCAAGAGAAGCGUUGAAUUGAAGCCCCAGUAAACGGCGGCCGUAACUAUAACGGUCCUAAGGUAGCGAAAUUCCUUGUCG